RNAcentral lists this unclassified non-coding RNA (221 nucleotides) under Glomeraceae sp. Its description in RNAcentral is "partial contains 5.8S ribosomal RNA and internal transcribed spacer 2". The stretch from base 1 to 72 matches the Rfam family "5.8S ribosomal RNA", at positions 84 to 154 of the family's 154-position model. The record is from RNAcentral. Lineage: Eukaryota; Fungi; Glomeromycota; Glomeromycetes; Glomerales; Glomeraceae.
GUGAAUCAUCAAAUUUUUGAACGCAAAUUGCACUCUCCGGCUUUCCGGGAGAGUAUGCCUGUUUGAGGGUCAGCCUAAAAAAAAUCGACAUUGUUGCUGUUAUUUAAUGGUGAGUUUCGUCGGAGAUUGGGUUAUCUUAUAUCUUUUUUUUUUUUUGGUUUAAGGGAUUUAAAAUUAUUCUUUAGGAUUCCAUUAAUGUUUCUAAGAUUUUUAUUUUUUAU